UAGAGAGNUAGGGAUUGAACCUACAAUUGAGAGAUCAAAA
This 40-nucleotide transfer RNA is filed under the name Dendropsophus ebraccatus (hourglass treefrog). RNAcentral describes it as "partial tRNA-Gln". Lineage: Eukaryota; Metazoa; Chordata; Amphibia; Anura; Hylidae. The record is from RNAcentral.